Molecule: long non-coding RNA, 1283 nt
Filed under: Homo sapiens (human)
Lineage: Eukaryota; Metazoa; Chordata; Mammalia; Primates; Hominidae
Source: RNAcentral
AAUGGACCAAGACAGGCCAGGACCUCCCAAGCGAACCCUGCCCACGACUAAGUUGGUGACUCUCCCAUUCUUCUCAAGCUCAGCCCAGAAGCACCAGGCCAAGGGCUGCCCCAAAUGCCCCAGGAGAGCCCUGGCCCUCCUCCUCACCUGGGGACUGUGACCAGAGCCACAGCAGCACCUUGCGUGUCAACAGCACUCAACAGUUUUCAGAGCAUACUGGCAGCUUCACAGUAUGACCCAGUGAGGAAGGAGGAGUGGGGUGUCACCUCCAUCUACACAGUGAGUGUGACAUGGGCCUCUGUGACCCAAGCUGAGGACUAACCCACCGCUCAUAACACGGUUUCUACGGGAAAACCAAGUUGUGAAUUUUGAAUUAUCAGCCCACUGAGGGUGGAAGUCCAAGAUCUGUGGUGAUUUGGGUGCUGAUGCAAGCCAGAAGUCACAGCCCAGAGCCUGCAGCGGCUGCACUGCUGGGUCCCCAGUCCUCGAUGGGCACCAGCCAACCUGCCCUCUCGACCCUCCACAGCAACUCAGGCCCCCACUCCAUGGCUCCCCUGCACCAUCCUCAUGCCUGGUCAACUCUUGCUGCCAGUUGCUGUGAGACCCAGCUCACCACUGGGCAAACAGAGCUUGCAAAAUGCAGCCCAUGCUCACCAUUCAUGGAUUCCAUAUGUACAAAUUCACCUACCUGCGAAAUUGUAUCUGUAACCCCAAAAUCAAUACUGGCUGCACUUUUGGGGUCAUUCUCGGACACACACAGAGUGGGGAAGAAUGAGGGCUGCUCAACACGCACAUUCCCAGCGGGGGUGGAACAAGGCCCGCUCAGCCUGCUGGCUUCAGCUCCCACAAUGCAAACAAGUGUCCUUUUCGCAGGCUAUUUGGUGCCACAUUUUUCAUGCUUUUGUGCUUUGUGUUGGUGAUUUCACUGUUUAAAAUGUCCCCUAAGCAUAUUCGAAGCAACCUGGAUGAGACUGGAGACUAUUAUUCUAAGUGAAGUAACUCAGGAAUGGAAAACCAAACAUUGUCUGUUCUCACUCAUAAGUGAGAGCUAAGCUAUGAGGAUGCAAAGGCAUAAGAAUGACACAAUGGACUUUGGGGACUCAGGGAGAAAGAGUGGGAAGGGGGUGAGGGAUAAAAGACUACAAACUGGGUUCAGUGUAUGCUUCCCAGGUGAUGAGUGCACCAAAAUCUCACAAAUCACCACUAAAGAACUGACUCAUGUAACCAAAUGCCACCUGUUCCCCAAUAACCUAUGAAAAUAAAAAAAAAAAUUAAUGUCCCCC